Molecule: ribosomal RNA, 497 nt
Filed under: uncultured bacterium
Lineage: Bacteria
Description: partial 16S ribosomal RNA
Rfam family: Bacterial small subunit ribosomal RNA
Source: RNAcentral
GAUGAACGCUGGCGGCGUGCCUAAUACAUGCAAGUCGAGCGAACAGACGAGGAGCUUGCUCCUCUGACGUUAGCGGCGGACGGGUGAGUAACACGUGGAUAACCUACCUAUAAGACUGGGAUAACUUCGGGAAACCGGAGCUAAUACCGGAUAAGAUAUUGAACCGCAUGGUUCAAUAGUGAAAGACGGUUUUGCUGUCACUUAUAGAUGGAUCCGCGCCGCAUUAGCUAGUUGGUAAGGUAACGGCUUACCAAGGCAACGAUGCGUAGCCGACCUGAGAGGGUGAUCGGCCACACUGGAACUGAAACACGGUCCAGACUCCUACGGUAGGCCGCAGUAGGGAAUCUUCCGCAGUGGGCGAAAGCCUGACGGAGCAACGCCGCGUGAGUGAUGAAGGUCUUCGGAUCGUAAAACUCUGUUAUUAGGGAAGAACAAAUGUGUAAGUAACUAUGCACGUCUUGACGGUACCUAAUCAGAAAGCCACGGCUAACUACGUG